AUUACUGGAUUCUCUUGGUGUUUAGAUUUCUAAGAUUUUCUAGCACCAUUUGAAUUCAGUUCAU
This 64-nucleotide microRNA precursor is filed under the name Strigamia maritima. Its description in RNAcentral is "mir-29 microRNA precursor". It matches the Rfam family "mir-29 microRNA precursor family". From Rfam's summary of the family: This family represents the microRNA (miRNA) precursors mir-29. Animal miRNAs are transcribed as ~70nt precursors and subsequently processed by the Dicer enzyme to give a ~22nt product. Lineage: Eukaryota; Metazoa; Arthropoda; Chilopoda; Geophilomorpha; Linotaeniidae. The record is from RNAcentral.